Long non-coding RNA from Limulus polyphemus (Atlantic horseshoe crab), 423 nucleotides. RefSeq lists it as uncharacterized. NCBI's taxonomy places the organism in Eukaryota, Metazoa, Arthropoda, Merostomata, Xiphosura, Limulidae. The transcript is spliced from 3 exons. The record is from RefSeq and is a predicted model, not a curated record.
CUCCUGAUGUAACCAUGGAAGUAUUAAAGAUUAAGUCUGAAAGAUUUUCUGGUGAGGAGGAUGCUUUGUUGGAUAUCAAAAUGGAGAAAAGUGAAGAAGAAACUUUUACCUUAUCUAAUAGAGAAGCUGAUUUCUUAAAAGAAAGAUCUUCACAAACAGUUUGUAAGUUUGGUGUCAAAAAAAGAAGAAUGGGAAGAGAAUUAUGAUAAAGUACCAGUGAAAACUGAGAACACAUUUGUCAGAAUACAGUCAGAUGAACCUGAUGACACACAACAAGAUGAUAUUAUUUCUGAGUUGAGCAAGAAUUAUGAUGAUAAUGACUCAAAAGAUGAUGUGUUGAGUGGGAAGAAAGAAAAGAAAUUUCAAGAUGACUUUCAAGAAAUUGGCUCUGGGUUGGAAAGUUUACCUGGUAAAUACAAACAU